Molecule: ribosomal RNA, 621 nt
Filed under: Triticum aestivum (bread wheat)
Lineage: Eukaryota; Viridiplantae; Streptophyta; Magnoliopsida; Poales; Poaceae
Description: partial small subunit ribosomal RNA
Source: RNAcentral
GAGUAGUUCGGUUGACGAGGACUAAGGACUUCGCCAUUUUUCUCGCUCGAAACCCUAACCGUCGUUACCGCUGCUUUGGUGAUCAACCGAGAGGCGAGAGCCGGAGAGGACGACGAGUUUCGUGGGGACUGGGACCGAAAGGUUGGCCACAACGACGAGUUCCGUGGGGGUGGGGACCGGGAAGGUCACCACCACCACCAUGGCCACGACGACGAGGUCAGGGGCUGCCACCGGGAUUUUCACCGUCGCCCUUAGGUUAACCCAGUGGAGGGCACAAAGUGCCUAUUCAAGAACAAGACGAAGCCUAGAGGCUGGAACAGAACACGUUCAAAGUUUGACAUUAUACAAACAAGGGUCAAGCCAGCUCCCAAGCUGGCGGGAGAACAAGCAAUUCGUACAUCAAACUUACAAACUAUUGGUGUUGGAAUCAAGAAUAUUGACUACAACAAAAUUCAUACCUAUAUACCGAACUUAUCACUUAUGUGUGUAGACUAGUUAUCAUAGAUACCCAGAUUUCGUCACAUUAAGUCUACGGUAGCUAGACACUGUAAUAAGUUCAACAUACAGCUCCAAUUUGUACUCUACGCACACCGUUCCAGUUUGUGUCUUAUAUACAACUCC